GGCCCGGCCGGGGACCCCGCCCCGCGCUUCCGGGAGGGGGAGGGGGAGAGGAGGAGCCGCCGGGCGCCCUAGGCCGCAGUCGCGCCUCCCUGCGGGCGGCCGCCAGGCCCACUCUGGGCACAGGUUCUGCCCGCCUUCUAGCCUGCCUCUUCUGCAGACAACAGGGAAGGAUGGACUGGGUCCGUGCUCCUCCAGGAAGUUCUUUAUUUACAAGUGGCAAAUAGGAAGUGGUCGAAGAGUCUUUCAGAAUCGCUGCGUCUCACAGUCUAGGAGCCCUGAGGCCUCCUUCAUGAAUGGCCAUUCUGCACCGCGGCUGCGCAAGGUGUUCCAAGAGCACGGGCUCCCUCCGGGCCCUGGAUCAGGAGAGAAUGUCAACCCGAUUCUGUUUGGAAACCCGGGCAACUGCCUACGCAUCCUCCAGUAUCCUUCCCAAAGUCUUCAUGAUGGAUGACGCUGGGUCACCUGAGAAGCUUUGCUACCUUUCAAGAGUGAAUUAAAAAGCAUUGAAAGUAUGAACCCCGAUACCCAAGAGUUUAUGUGUUACACAAACAGUCCGAACCUAAAAACAAAACAAAAGCACAUAAAGAAUAUGGGGGGCAGGGGAUGGGGCCUGCCUAGAGUAACUUGAAGGAAAUAUAGGAGAGUCUCUGCUAAGAGACUUCAGCCUUGGGGAAAGUACCUUGUGAUGUGUUUCAAGGGUGUAGUGUGGAGUAGUUCGUGCCUUCAAACCUAGCAUUUGGGAGGCAGAGGCAGGCAGAUCUCCAGUGCAAGGCCAGCAUGGUCUACAAAGAGAGUUCCAGGUGUGGUGGCACAGGCCUUUAAUCGCAACACUUGGCGGGGCAGAGGCAGGCAGAGCUCUGUGAGUUCAAGAACAACCUAGUCGGGGCUGGAGAGAUGGCUCAGAGGUUAAGAGCAUUGCCUGCUCUUCCAAAGGUCCUGAGUUCAAUUCCCAGCAACCACAUGGUGGCUCACAACCAUCUGUAAUGGGGUCUGGUGCCCUCUUCUGGCCUUCAGGCAUACACACAGACAGAAUAUUGUAUACAUAAUAAAUAAAUAAAUAUUA
Alexandromys fortis (reed vole) is the source of this 1063-nucleotide long non-coding RNA. RefSeq lists it as uncharacterized. The transcript has 3 exons. Lineage: Eukaryota; Metazoa; Chordata; Mammalia; Rodentia; Cricetidae. The record is from RefSeq and is a predicted model, not a curated record.